Molecule: ribosomal RNA, 466 nt
Filed under: uncultured bacterium
Lineage: Bacteria
Description: partial 16S ribosomal RNA
Rfam family: Bacterial small subunit ribosomal RNA
Source: RNAcentral
GACGAACGCUGGCGGCGCGCCUAACACAUGCAAGUCGAACGAGCGAGGGAGAGCUUGCUUUCUCAAGCGAGUGGCGAACGGGUGGGUAACGCGUGAGGGAGCUGCCUCAAAGAGGGGGACAACAGUUGGAAACGACUGCUAAUACCGCAUAAGCCCACGACCCGGCAUCGGGUAGGGGGAAAAGGAGCAAUCCGCUUUGAGAGGGCCUCGCAUCCGAUUAGCUGGUUGGUGAGGUAACGGCCCACCAAGGCGACGAUCGGUAGCCGGACUGAGAGGUUGAGCCGCCACAUUGGGACUGAGACACGGCGCAGACUCCUACGGGAGGCAGCAGUGGGGAAUAUUGCACAAUGGGGGAAACCAUGAUGCAGCGACGCCGCGUGGAGGAAGAAGGUCUUCGGAUUGUAAACUCCUGUUGUUGAGGAAGAUAAUGACGGUACUCAAAAAGGAAGUGACGGCUAACUACGUG